RNAcentral lists this microRNA precursor (164 nucleotides) under Oryza brachyantha (malo sina). RNAcentral describes it as "MIR812 microRNA precursor family". It matches the Rfam family "MIR812 microRNA precursor family", at positions 27 to 189 of the family's 205-position model. Lineage: Eukaryota; Viridiplantae; Streptophyta; Magnoliopsida; Poales; Poaceae. The record is from Rfam by way of RNAcentral.
UAUAAUUUUUUACUCUUCGUCUUAUUCAAAUUUUUUCGUGAUUGAUAUUUUUAUUUUUAUUAGAUGAUAAAUCAUGAAUAGUACUUUAUGUAUGAUUAAUUUUUGUCUAAUUUCCUAAAAUUUUUUUAAAUAAGAUGGAUGGUCAAACGUUAGACACGGAAACC